RNAcentral lists this ribosomal RNA (274 nucleotides) under uncultured bacterium. Its description in RNAcentral is "partial 16S ribosomal RNA". It matches the Rfam family "Bacterial small subunit ribosomal RNA", at positions 523 to 796 of the family's 1533-position model. The record is from RNAcentral.
AUACGGAGGGGGUUAGCGUUGUUCGGAAUUACUGGGCGUAAAGCGUACGUAGGCGGAUUAGUAAGUUAGGGGUGAAAUCCCGAGGCUCAACCUCGGAACUGCCUCUAAAACUGCUAGUCUUGAGUUCGAGAGAGGUGAGUGGAAUUCCUAGUGUAGGGGUGAAAUUCGUAGAUAUUAGGAGGAACACCAGUGGCGAAGGCGGCUCACUGGCUCGAUACUGACGCUGAGGUACGAAAGUGUGGGGAGCAAACAGGAUUAGAAACCCGGGUAGUCC